AUUUAAGUAGUUUAGGUAAAAUACUGAUUUGUGGUGUCAGUGAAGUUAGAAAUAGCCUUAAGUA
RNAcentral lists this transfer RNA (64 nucleotides) under Berosus affinis. Its description in RNAcentral is "tRNA-His". Lineage: Eukaryota; Metazoa; Arthropoda; Insecta; Coleoptera; Hydrophilidae. The record is from RNAcentral.